UCUAGUGAUGAUGGCAAAGAGGAUACACCCGUUCCCAUACCGAACACGGAAGUUAAGCUCUUUAGCGCCGAUGGUAGUUGGGGUCUUCUCCCUGCGAGAGUAGGACGUUGCUAGAC
RNAcentral lists this ribosomal RNA (116 nucleotides) under Ureibacillus thermophilus. The record is from RNAcentral. Lineage: Bacteria; Bacillati; Bacillota; Bacilli; Caryophanales; Caryophanaceae.